RNAcentral lists this ribosomal RNA (292 nucleotides) under uncultured bacterium. RNAcentral's name for it is "partial 16S ribosomal RNA". It matches the Rfam family "Bacterial small subunit ribosomal RNA", at positions 505 to 796 of the family's 1533-position model. The record is from RNAcentral.
GUGCCAGCAGCCGCGGUAAUACGUAGGUGGCAAGCGUUGUCCGGAUUUAUUGGGUUUAAAGGGUGCGUAGGCGGCCUUGUAAGUCAGUGGUGAAAUACUCCAGCUUAACUGGAGGGGUGCCAAUGAUACUGCAGGGCUUGAGUACAGAUGAGGUAGGCGGAAUUGACGGUGUAGCGGUGAAAUGCAUAGAUAUCGUCAAGAACACCGAUAGCGAAGGCAGCUUACUGGGCUGUAACUGACGCUGAGGCACGAAAGUGUGGGGAUCAAACAGGAUUAGAUACCCUGGUAGUCC